GUCUAUGGUUACACCACCCUAAACACACCAGCCUCCUCUGAUCUUGGAAGCUAAGCAGGGCUAGACUGGUUGGUACUUAGUACCUAUAUGGGGAAAAGUCCUAUCUUAUAAAGU
Molecule: ribosomal RNA, 114 nt
Filed under: Meriones unguiculatus (Mongolian gerbil)
Lineage: Eukaryota; Metazoa; Chordata; Mammalia; Rodentia; Muridae
Source: RNAcentral